AUUUGGUGCUUGCACCAGAUGAAACUAGAUACAAGCGAGCGGCGGACGGGUGAGUAACACGUGGGUAACCUGCCCAAGAGACUGGGAUAACACCUGGAAACAGAUGCUAAUACCGGAUAACAACACUAGACGCAUGUCUAGAGUUUAAAAGAUGGUUCUGCUAUCACUCUUGGAUGGACCUGCGGUGCAUUAGCUAGUUGGUAAGGUAACGGCUUACCAAGGCAAUGAUGCAUAGCCGAGUUGAGAGACUGAUCGGCCACAUUGGGACUGAGACACGGCCCAAACUCCUACGGGAGGCAGCAGUAGGGAAUCUUCCACAAUGGACGCAAGUCUGAUGGAGCAACGCCGCGUGAGUGAAGAAGGGUUUCGGCUCGUAAAGCUCUGUUGGUAGUGAAGAAAGAUAGAGGUAGUAACUGGCCUUUAUUUGACGGUAAUUACUUAGAAAGUCACGGCUAACUACGUGCCAGCAGCCGCGGUAAUACGUAGGUGGCAAGCGUUGUCCGGAUUUAUUGGGCGUAAAGCGAGUGCAGGCGGUUCAAUAAGUCUGAUGUGAAAGCCUUCGGCUCAACCGGAGAAUUGCAUCAGAAACUGUUGAACUUGAGUGCAGAAGAGGAGAGUGGAACUCCAUGUGUAGCGGUGGAAUGCGUAGAUAUAUGGAAGAACACCAGUGGCGAAGGCG
RNAcentral lists this ribosomal RNA (679 nucleotides) under uncultured Bacilli bacterium. Its description in RNAcentral is "bacterial SSU rRNA". It matches the Rfam family "Bacterial small subunit ribosomal RNA", at positions 71 to 723 of the family's 1533-position model. The record is from RNAcentral. Lineage: Bacteria; Bacillati; Bacillota; Bacilli.